RNAcentral lists this small RNA (1396 nucleotides) under Rattus norvegicus (Norway rat). RNAcentral's name for it is "uncharacterized LOC102552044". The record is from RNAcentral. Lineage: Eukaryota; Metazoa; Chordata; Mammalia; Rodentia; Muridae.
AGCUCCUCAAGCUGGGUCUCUGCCUGAGUGGCCUGUUGCCGGGUAACCAUUACCCUAGCUCUCAGUCGGUCCUGUGGCACCCAUCCAGAAGGCAAGCAACAAAAGGUUAGGAGGGUUGUAACCUUUGAGUCACCACCAGUACAGAUGCUGGGCACUUUCCUCAUGGCCCUAAUGGUAAGUGCCUUGGACAAUCCCAGAACUAGGUCAGAGUCCCGGGAGGCCUGGAUAGGGACCUUUCUCUGCAUGGAGCAGGAUGCUAUAUGAGGAAUGUGUUGGUCUUGGGUUGAAGACCCCACUUCCGGUCCCACUCCUGUGGCUUGCAGGUUGAGUGACCUGGACAGAGUUCCCCCACCUUCUCUGGUCCAAACCUCAUGCCUACCCCAGGCAACAAAGGAGAGAGGUAGCACUGGGCUUACAGAGCCUGGGGUGGGGCGGGAGACUGGACAGAGUUGUCUGACCAGUGAUCAGUUCAGCACCUAGGAGCCCAGAGGGAAGACGGACGUUAUUAUCAUUUGGUUGACUUCUGUUCUCCCCGGAGACCAAAAUGUGCUGUUAUAGGAGCACCAUUCUGGUACUUGAAGAUGAUGCUUAACCUGGCUAAGAGUCUCAUUACCUGUUUUUACUCCUUCCAACACCAUUUUGAGUUGGGAACCUUUAUCAUUGUUGCUUUGAGAUAGGGUCUCAUCAUGUAGCCCCGGCUGGCCUGGAACUUUCCACGUAGACCAACUUGAUCUUGAACACUUACAGAGAUCAGCCUACUUCUGCCUCCAGAGUGACAAGAUUAAAGCUGUGACCUCCUCCUCAUCUCCUACCCACUCCACACCCCCAGUUGGAGCUCAGUCUCCAGAAAGCAGAAAUUUGAUGACAUCAUCGCCCUGUCUCAAGCUCGGGAAGGUUCUGGACAUCCCGAGAGGAAGAGUCACCACCACCAUGCUGCCCAUCAUGGUGUGGUCCCCGAUGACCUGUUUGGAGAUUUCAGGAACCUGUCUCCUCCCCGUCAUCUCUGCUCCUUGGCGCUUGUCCCUGCGUCCUCUUUUUCUGGCUGGUACUUCCUCACCCCUGAGGAGUCACCUAAAGAGCGCCGCCCACUCUUCUUCAGCAGGCUGACCUUGCCAUCUCUAUAGAAUGAAACAUUUUGCUGAGACACUAUCUGACCCUUGAGUAGAUCUUCAGCCUCUGAAAGGCAGAAAGCACGCUUAUUGAAUGUUGGUCACCUUGGCGAAUGGGGCUGUUAGCCCUGGCCUAACACUCUGGCUCUGCUUUAUUCAGAGGACCUGGGGAGAGCUGUGUGGGACAGUCAGGUGUACAUGGCCUCUAGGUUCCUAUGGGAACCCGCAGCCUUCUGUUGCAGCCCCUGGCCCUGGCCACAAACAGUCCCGGCCCUUCUCUCACCUCG